Molecule: long non-coding RNA, 218 nt
Filed under: Mytilus galloprovincialis (Mediterranean mussel)
Lineage: Eukaryota; Metazoa; Mollusca; Bivalvia; Mytilida; Mytilidae
Source: RNAcentral
CUAUUGUCCGACUUGAAGGGAUUACAAUUAACGGUGAUAUAUUUUUUUAUGAUCAUAAGCGGUAAUUAGAUGAAAGUUCACAAUUUAGGACAUGGCUUUGCCAUACAGAAACGAGAAAAGUAACAUCCUGAAAAUAAUUAUAGCGUCGCGGAUAUUAUUAUAGCGUCACGGUAAGAAAAUAUAGCGUCGCGGUACCGCGACGCUAAAACGGCCUGGGG